CCUGGACCACAUUCUCCAGCAGCUUUUAUUCAUCCAAAGCUGCUUCCAAAAGGGCUCAGGGGCAUCAGUCGGUCAGCAGCAAUCAGUGGGUUAAUACAGCCUCACUUCUGCCUCCGUCAGAUGUUCAGGAGAAGAUAAUGAGGCAGGGACAGAGCCUGCAGGUUAAUGACAUACCCCAACUGGAAGACAGAAAUCUGAGAGGAGAGACUGGGAAGCAGAAGAGGAAAGGGAAAUGAAUUCUCAUGGGAAUCUAUCAGCCAAAGCACAAGUUUCACUUAUGUUGAGUGGAAAUGGAGGCUUCUCUAAAAGAAACUAUUGGCAGAGGCAAGUGAACCACUGAAACAAAAUACAUUGGCAAAUAAGAAAGAAAUCACAAGGCAGACAAGAGCUGCCCUGAACAAUGGUGGAGAGGAGGUUGGCACAGCCAAGUUCUCUGCAGUCACCCUGCUGCUGCAUGUGGAUCAGAUUCAGACCAGGGCAGUGGGAUGCAACAAGCUGAAUUUCUUGACUGACCUUCAGCCUUCCCCCUCCGUGGCAAUAUACAGCUUUCUGUUCUGCUAAGUGAAAGUCAGAAACAGGGGCCAACUGAAAAGUAAUUCUUUUCACUCUUUUGCAGAAACAACAAAAAGGUUGCUUCUGAAGAUGAGAAAUUCUUUUGCUCAUCUCUACUGGAGACUGAAUUGUUUAUUGUAUUGACUGCCCAUCAUUGUGGGCUGGGUUUUAACAGAUAUGACAAUUUAUCUGUAUCAAGGAUGGGGGGGGUGCUGUUGUGAUACAUUAAAUACCUUUGCAAUCUUUUUUAUUUUUUUUCUUCUUAUCUUUCUUUCUCUCUUUCUUUUUUU
Molecule: long non-coding RNA, 842 nt
Filed under: Parus major (Great Tit)
Lineage: Eukaryota; Metazoa; Chordata; Aves; Passeriformes; Paridae
Description: lncRNA (ENSPMJG00000018482.1)
Source: RNAcentral